The sequence is a transfer RNA, 96 nucleotides long. It matches the Rfam family "tRNA". Rfam says of the family: Transfer RNA (tRNA) molecules are approximately 80 nucleotides in length. Their secondary structure includes four short double-helical elements and three loops (D, anti-codon, and T loops). The record is from Rfam.
GGCCGACUAGCUCAGUUGGUUAGAGCGUCGUGCUAAUAUAGUCGCUAGCGAUCAAUUGUAACGCGAAGGUCUUGGGUUCGAUCCCCACGUUGGCCA